RNAcentral lists this ribosomal RNA (253 nucleotides) under uncultured bacterium. RNAcentral's name for it is "partial 16S ribosomal RNA". It matches the Rfam family "Bacterial small subunit ribosomal RNA", at positions 524 to 776 of the family's 1533-position model. The record is from RNAcentral.
UACGGAGGGUGCAAGCGUUGUUCGGAAUCACUGGGCGUAAAGGGCGUGUAGGCGGUCUAUCAAGUCUGGUGUGAAAUCCCCUCGCUCAACGAGGGAACUGCGCCGGAAACUGACAGACUAGAGUACCGGAGAGGAAGGUGGAAUUCCCGGUGUAGCGGUGAAAUUCGUAGAUAUCGGGAGGAACACCAGAGGCGAAGGCGGCCACCUGGACAGAGAUUGACGCUGAGACGCGAAAGCGUGGGGAGCAAACAGG